This 374-nucleotide ribosomal RNA is filed under the name uncultured organism. RNAcentral's name for it is "partial 16S ribosomal RNA". It matches the Rfam family "Bacterial small subunit ribosomal RNA", at positions 526 to 896 of the family's 1533-position model. The record is from RNAcentral.
GGAGGGGUGCGAGCGUUAAUCGGAAUUACUGGGCGUAAAGCGCGCGUAGGGCGGCUUGGUCAGUCGGGAUGUGAAAGCCCCGGGCUUAACCUGGGAAUUGCAUUCGAUACUGCCCAGACUAGAGUAUGGGAGAGGGAAGCGGAAUUUCCGGUGUAGCGGUGAAAUGCGUAGAUAUCGGAAGGAACACCAGUGGCGAAGGCGGCUUCCUGGCCCAAUACUGACGCUGAGGUGCGAAAGCGUGGGGAGCGAACAGGAUUAGAUACCCUGGUAGUCCACGCCGUAAACGAUGAGAACUAGAUGUCGGGAGGAUUUGCCUCUCGGUGUCGCAGCUAACGCGUUAAGUUCUCCGCCUGGGGAGUACGCCGGCAACGGUA